UAAAAAAAAACAAAAAAAAAAAAACAAACAACAGCCGGAAGCGGUAGGCUGUUUCCAUGGCAGCAACAAACACUCUGCUGCCUGUCUGUUGAACGUGUUUUGAUGUACUUAAUGAUAAAAAGGUUGUUCAUCGCCUGACUGGAGCAGGGACAGGGAAGCUGAGCUGGGCAUCGUUGUUGGGAAGAUGGAUGAAGCCAAAUACACUACAUGUGGAUAAAAACCUCUCAGGUCAUACAAAAGACUUGAAACUUUUGCAGCAGCUCACCUUCCAAAAGGACAAAGACCCUCAACUUACAGCCAGAGCCACAAUUACAAUGUUUCAAAGAUCCAUCAUGUGUUGGCCCAUAAAAAGGCCAGACCUAAAUAUAAUUAAAAAACAGCGAAGGACCUAAUAGUUGCUGUGUACAAAUGCUCUCAAUCCUUUAAGAUUGAGUUUUAGCUUUUCUACAAAUAACAAUGGGCAAGGGUUUCUCUAAAUGUGCAAAGCUAGUUGAUCCUCUGCCCAAAAGACUCACGGCAAAGGUGGUUCUACAAAGUACUCACUCUAAUGGAGCUACAUAUGCAUGGCACACCUUUUAGAUUUUUAUUAGUUAAAACAAAUAAAAAAUAUUUUCUUUCCAUUUCACUAA
Long non-coding RNA from Girardinichthys multiradiatus, 629 nucleotides. RefSeq lists it as uncharacterized. The record is from RefSeq and is a predicted model, not a curated record. Lineage: Eukaryota; Metazoa; Chordata; Actinopteri; Cyprinodontiformes; Goodeidae. The transcript has 2 exons.